UACGGAGGGUGCAAGCGUUAAUCGGAAUUACUGGGCGUAAAGCGCACGCAGGUGGCUGAGUCAGUCGAUUGUGAAAGCCCUGGGCUUAACCUGGGAAUUGCAGUCGAUACUACUCAGCUAGAGUAUGGGAGAGGGCAGUGGAAUUCCCGGUGUAGCGGUGAAAUGCGUAGAUAUCGGGAGGAACAUCAGUGGCGAAGGCGGCUGCCUGGCCCAAUACUGACACUCAGGUGCGACGAGCGUGGGG
Molecule: ribosomal RNA, 244 nt
Filed under: uncultured bacterium
Lineage: Bacteria
Description: partial 16S ribosomal RNA
Rfam family: Bacterial small subunit ribosomal RNA
Source: RNAcentral